UGGGGGAUAUUGCACAAUGGGGGAAACCCUGAUGCAGCGACGCCGCGUGAGUGAAGAAGUAUUUCGGUAUGUAAAGCUCUAUCAGCAGGGAAGAAAAUGACAGUACCUGACCAAGAAGCCCCGGCUAACUACGUGCCAGCAGCCGCGGUAAUACGUAGGGGGCAAGCGUUAUCCGGAUUUACUGGGUGUAAAGGGAGCGUAGACGGUUAUGUAAGUCUGGAGUGAAAGCCCGGGGCCCAACCCCGGGACUGCUUUGGAAACUGUGUAACUGGAGUACAGGAGGGGCAGGCGGAAUUCCUGGUGUAGCGGUGAAAUGCGUAGAUAUCAGGAGGAACACCGGCGGCGAAGGCGGCCUGCUGGACUGAAACUGACGUUGAGGCUCGAAAGCGUGGGGAGCAAACAGG
This 404-nucleotide ribosomal RNA is filed under the name uncultured bacterium. RNAcentral describes it as "bacterial SSU rRNA". It matches the Rfam family "Bacterial small subunit ribosomal RNA", at positions 355 to 776 of the family's 1533-position model. RNAcentral also lists the same sequence under 1 other name. The record is from RNAcentral.